RNAcentral lists this transfer RNA (73 nucleotides) under Dictyocaulus viviparus (bovine lungworm). It matches the Rfam family "tRNA". From Rfam's summary of the family: Transfer RNA (tRNA) molecules are approximately 80 nucleotides in length. Their secondary structure includes four short double-helical elements and three loops (D, anti-codon, and T loops). The record is from Rfam by way of RNAcentral. Lineage: Eukaryota; Metazoa; Nematoda; Chromadorea; Rhabditida; Metastrongylidae.
GCCUCGGUAGUGUAGUGGAUCAGCACGGCAGACCGGAUAUCUGUAAGUGCGGGUUCGAGUCCCGUCUGAGGUU